This 109-nucleotide small RNA is filed under the name Peribacillus loiseleuriae. Its description in RNAcentral is "Bacillus sp. FJAT-27997 BsrF". It matches the Rfam family "BsrF". The record is from Rfam by way of RNAcentral. Lineage: Bacteria; Bacillati; Bacillota; Bacilli; Caryophanales; Bacillaceae.
GCGAUGAGCUAAUUUGCAUAAGACGAGGAACAUGCUUUACGCACGUUAGGGAUGUGGCCCAACGGUUUCUCGCCGCAAACGCAUCAAAGACGCCUGCUUUGCAGGCGUC